Microplitis mediator is the source of this 1514-nucleotide long non-coding RNA. RefSeq lists it as uncharacterized. The transcript is spliced from 3 exons. Lineage: Eukaryota; Metazoa; Arthropoda; Insecta; Hymenoptera; Braconidae. The record is from RefSeq and is a predicted model, not a curated record.
CUUAAAUCGUGACUAAGUAAGCCAUUUAAGUCUAAACCAAGGCGAAAACUUAAUAUAUUUCAUACCUCCGUAAAAAAAGUCGAGUUUGUCUUGUGAAAAACGGCUCCAAAUUUCGACUUGUUAAACAAAGUCUAAAUCAAGUUUUAUUUUUGACCCGGGCAGGUAGAAAAAAAAAUAUAUAAGAUUGAAAGUUAGGUUUUUGUCUCGGUAAUAAAUAUUGAAUCUGCAUCGAGGCGUCAGGCGCCGAUCUACAGGAGACGCGAUACUUCCUGCAUACAAAACGCGAUACGCGUAUUAACACUUUUUACAAGGCCUAAGUAAACUUUUACUUGGCUCGGUACCUGAUGACGACACAAUUGACCACUGAUUUUAAAAUAAAAUUAAUAAUGAAAACAACCGAUCUCUAUAUUGAGUUCUCCCCGUAACCCAGAGCCCAGGAAAUAGACAAUGGACGUAAAACAAGAGCAGUUCAAUUAAAUCUAGCGAUACAAGCUAUUGGCGCCGACAAGUCGCAUUCUAUAUCUAUAUCUUGUCAGUAAAUAUCUCUCGGAGAUGAUGACUUAUAUAUAUUUUCUUGGUUUUUUUCGGUUGACAAACAAAUUCUUCCCUUUUCGACAAAAGUUCAGUCAAUAACUCAAGAUCGAGAUAACGAUUGGUUGGGUUUUUUUAAAUGGACCGUGACUAAAAAUAAACACUAGUUAUUUUUGUGUUGGGCAUUACUGGACUAGGAUAAUUAUAAUGAUUUAUUUUUUUACAAGGCUAGAGUAUUUUUUACUUUUUUUUUUUAAAUUCCUCAGCCGGCAAUUAGGGAGCAGUCGGAUCCUCAAGAAACAAUUAGUGGGCCUUGAGUUUAUGGAUUACCGCAUUUUUUUCAUUUGCAAUACCUGUUUUUUUAACAACUAUCGUUAAAGGACUCGUUUUUAGUCCUCGUCAGUUAUUUCGAUGUUUUUUUUUUACAAGUUUCCUUAUAGAUUUUUGUCGAGUUUUAUUUUAAAAUUUAAAAUGUUAUAAAUUAUUUAAAAGUCGUUUUAACGAUCAUGAUAAUAAUAAUAAUAUUGAAACGAGUUUCACUUGGAGGGAGUUGUUCUGAACAGUAACAUUUUGUCUCUACAGUCUCGAAAAUCUUUAAACCUGAUCAGACAGACAAAUAUAUUUAUUAUUGAGAUGAUUAAAUUAUUGAUGAUAAUGUGGAUCGCAGUAUCACCUUUCGAAGCAAUCGAGAAUGACAAACUGUCGCAGUGGUCAUUCGAAGAAAUCGGCUGCAAGGGAUUUUAUGAUAAGAAAAUGUUUGAGAGUCUAGACAACGUUUGUCAAGAGUGUCAUAGUUUAUAUCAGGAAUCAAUCGUUUAUAAUACGUGCAGAAACGAUUGUUUUACAACAGAAUAUUUUCGAGACUGUCUAGAAACAUUGACCUCACACACUAAAACCGAGAUAAGCGCUUUCAAAAUAAUGAGUAAACGAUUACAAGGUUACGAAUAAUACUCUUAUUAUUUUUUAUAAAAAUUAUAAAUAAA